CGGGGGGAGCAAGCGUUGUUCGGAUUUACUGGGCGUAAAGGGCGCGUAGGCGGCCACGACAAGUCACUUGUGAAAUCUCCGGGCUUAACCCGGUAGCGGCCAAGUGAUACUGUUGGGCUAGAGUGCGGAAGGGGCAACUGGAAUUCUCGGUGUAGCGGUGAAAUGCGUAGAUAUCGAGAGGAACACCUGCGGCGAAGGCGGGUUGCUGGGCCGACACUGACGCUGAUGCGCGAAAGCUAGGGGAGCGAACGGGAUUAGAUACCCCGGUAGUCCUAGCCUUAAACGAUGGAUGCUUGGUGUCUGGGGUGAUAAAGUCCCCGGGUGCCGUCGCUAACGCUUUUAGCAUCCCGCCUGGGGAGUACGGUCGCAAGACUG
RNAcentral lists this ribosomal RNA (375 nucleotides) under uncultured organism. Its description in RNAcentral is "bacterial SSU rRNA". It matches the Rfam family "Bacterial small subunit ribosomal RNA", at positions 526 to 896 of the family's 1533-position model. The record is from RNAcentral.